This 811-nucleotide long non-coding RNA is filed under the name Patiria miniata (bat star). RNAcentral's name for it is "uncharacterized LOC119729564". Lineage: Eukaryota; Metazoa; Echinodermata; Asteroidea; Valvatida; Asterinidae. The record is from RNAcentral.
CCGACAGAUGAACAGAUGGCCUGCUUGCUGGGCUUCCCAUUACUAAUUCUUGAGACAUGAUGACCACUGACUGGUGAGGGAAUUGCCCUAAGAUGGAUGAGCCUGCCUCAAGCUCCCAUAAGCUGGGAGGACCAACGGUUGACUGACUCUGCCUGCUUGGUUGGCCAUUACCAAUUCUUAAGAAGAUGAGGACCGCCAAGCUUGGAUGAGACUGGAAAAUUACGAAGCUGCUCUAUCUGGACAAGGAUGCCCUCAUCAGACACUUUCCAAUUUGCGGAAUAUUGGAUCCAAAAUCAGACUGCAUAUUAUUUUAAAAACAUGAAAACGACGAAAAUACGAAUUCUUACGCCAAAGUUACCGCUAUAAUUGGUAGAAAUAAUAGCUUAAAUCACUGUUACUUGUUAACUUUACUGAGAUACCUAUUUCUGAAAUAUUUGACAACGAAUACGACGAAAAUUGAAGAAAAAAAGUCAAAUGUGUGUAAAAUACAUUGCAGUGAAAAUCAGUCAUGAGUGGAUUUUCUACUCACAGAAAUGCUUCUCCGCUUCCAACAAGUGGCUAAGAAAAUGAUGAAAUUUACGCCGAAAAUAACUGAAAUCAGUGUUGUUUUCACCUUUACUGCGAUACCUACCCGAAAUAGUUGACUAAACGCGUGUGACGAAACGUGGAAACAAAAAUCAAAUCAGCCUAAAUAAAUUACAACGAAAAUCACAUAGUACGUGGAGUUUCUUCUCGCAGCCCGGCACUCUGUUUCUACAGGUAGCUACAGGAAAAUUACGAAAAUUACACCGAAAAUCAACGCGGCAAAUAA